GAUGAACGCUGGCGGCGUGCUUAACACAUGCAAGUCGAGCGAGUGAGUUCUUCGGAACGAUCUAGCGGCGGACGGGUGAGUAACACGUGGGCAACCUGCCUCAUAGAGGGGAAUAGCCUCCCGAAAGGGAGAUUAAUACCGCAUAAAGUUAUCGAGUGGCAUCACAUGAUAAUCAAAGGAGUAAUCCGCUAUGAGAUGGGCCCGCGGCGCAUUAGCUAGUUGGUGAGGUAACGGCUCACCAAGGCGACGAUGCGCAGCCGACCUGAGAGGGUGAUCGGCCACAUUGGGACUGAGACACGGCCCAGACUCCUACGGGAGGCAGCAGUGGGGAAUAUUGCACAAUGGGGGAAACCCUGAUGCAGCAACGCCGCGUGAGUGAUGAAGGUCUUCGGAUUGUAAAGCUCUGUCUUUGGGGACGAUAAUGACGGUACCCAAGGAGGAAGCCACGGCUAACUACGUGCCAGCAGCCGCCGUAA
This 476-nucleotide ribosomal RNA is filed under the name uncultured bacterium. Its description in RNAcentral is "partial 16S ribosomal RNA". It matches the Rfam family "Bacterial small subunit ribosomal RNA", at positions 28 to 523 of the family's 1533-position model. The record is from RNAcentral.